UAUACCAGGAACCACAACUCCUCUGUGCUA
This 30-nucleotide non-coding RNA is filed under the name Mus musculus (house mouse). The record is from RNAcentral. Lineage: Eukaryota; Metazoa; Chordata; Mammalia; Rodentia; Muridae.